Molecule: ribosomal RNA, 301 nt
Filed under: uncultured bacterium
Lineage: Bacteria
Description: partial 16S ribosomal RNA
Rfam family: Bacterial small subunit ribosomal RNA
Source: RNAcentral
CAGCAGCCACGGUAAUACGAAGGGGGCUAGCGUUGUUCGGAAUCACUGGGCGUAAAGGGUGCGUAGGCGGGCAUUUAAGUCAGGGGUGAAAUCCCGAGGCUCAACCUCGGAACUGCCCUUGAUACUGGAUGUCUUGAGUCCGGAAGAGGUGAGUGGAACUGCGAGUGUAGAGGUGAAAUUCGUAGAUAUUCGCAAGAACACCGGUGGCGAAGGCGGCUCACUGGUCCGGAACUGACGCUGAGGCACGACAGCGUGGGGAGCAAACAGGAUUAGAUACCCCUGUAGUCCCUGUCUCUUAUAC